This 468-nucleotide ribosomal RNA is filed under the name uncultured bacterium. RNAcentral describes it as "partial 16S ribosomal RNA". It matches the Rfam family "Bacterial small subunit ribosomal RNA", at positions 28 to 507 of the family's 1533-position model. The record is from RNAcentral.
GACGAACGCUGGCGGCGUGCUUAACACAUGCAAGUCGAACGGAAAGGCCCUGCUUUUGUGGGGUGCUCGAGUGGCUAACGGGUGAGUAACACGUGAGUAACCUGCCCUUGACUUUGGGAUAACUUCAGGAAACUGGGGCUAAUACCGGAUAGGAGCUCCUGCUGCAUGGUGGGGGUUGGAAAGUUUCGGCGGUUGGGGAUGGACUCGCGGCUUAUCAGCUUGUUGGUGGGGUAGUGGCUUACCAAGGCUUUGACGGGUAGCCGGCCUGAGAGGGUGACCGGCCACAUUGGGACUGAGAUACGGCCCAGACGCCUACGGGAGGCAGCAGUGGGGAAUAUUGCACAAUGGGCGGAAGCCUGAUGCAGCAACGCCGCGUGCGGGAUGACGGCCUUCGGGUUGUAAACCGCUUUCGCCUGUGACGAAGCGUGAGUGACGGUAAUGGGUAAAGAAGCACCGGCUAACUACGUG